UUUUUUAUUUUUAUUUUUAUUUUUUUAGCUUCUGGAGGCUGCCUGCAUUCCCUUGGCUGGCUAUGCUUUUCUUGAAUCUCUCUAACCUGUUGCUUCCAUCAUCACAUCUCCUAUUUCUUCUUCUGUAAGCAAGCGUUCCUCUUGUAAGGACACCUGUGAUUACAUUCUGAGCCCAUCCAGGUAAUUCAGGUUGAUCUCUCCAUCUCAGAAUGCUCAACUUAAGCACCCCUGCAAAGUUCCUUUCGCCACAUAAGACAACAUCAACAAAUCCUGGGAAUUAGCACAUGGAUAUCUUGGGGGGCCAUUAUCCAGCCUAUCACAAGACUCUACUACUGACUGAUACUGGAGGGAGGCAGGGAAGUGCUGGGUAGAGAAGAGUGGGGUCCCAGGCGAGGGCUCCACCCUUGGGCCUGUGCCCACAGACCUAAGUGAGAACAGGGAUUCUUGUUUUUGCACCCAAAUGUUGCAUUUCCCAAGACCACUCUGGCCUGCCAUGCCCCCAUCCCAUGGCCAUAUAAACCUGAGACCUUAGCAGGCACAGACACAAGUGGCUGAACAUUGAGAGGAGCAGAGAAAGAGAGUGACAAAGAGUGGGAGUGGCAGGGCGGCACGGCAGAGAAGGGAAGAGGCAUCUCAAUGUCAAACAAGAACGGCAGGACUCCAGAGGAAGAGCGCCUUCUCAUUCCGUGCCCCACUUCUGGUUCUGCAUCCGUCUUGCUGAGAGCCUCCACCGCUCAAUAAAACCUUGCACUCAUCCUUCAAGUCCACGUGUCAUCCGACUCUUCUGGUAUGCUGGGCAAGAACGUGGGGUACAGAAACCCGUCACACUGGACACUGCCCUUACAAUAAGGCACAGGGUCUAUUGAGCUGAUUAACAUAAUCCAUCUGCAGACGGCAGAGCUGAAAGAGCACACUGUAACACACAGCCACCUGGGAUUCAGGAGUCACAGCCAGCCAUCCCUAGAUGCUGCCGUUAGGCCGAAGCCCAAAAGCGCUCCCCAAGGCCUCUGCACCUGCCUGUCUGCAUGCUCCUCCUAUGGGUUUGAGCAACAGGGAGACAAAAGGAGAGAGCCAUACCCUUGUGGCAUGCCCUGCAAGGGGGCUAAGGGAACUCUCAUUUCACUAGUUAUCUUGUGCUCUAAUCAGAACCAUCAUCAAUGGAAGUUAAUGGUUAAAAACCAUUAUCUGUUGUUCAUGUUAUUAGGUUGUAUCCAUUUCCAUUAACAUAGGGUCCUUCUUACAGCUGUCAGCUGUCCAAUAAACCAAGAAUUUGACUAACUUACUGUGUAACUAUGGGAGGUUUUACUUCAAUGACCUCCAAUGAGCCACACACAUCCCAGUGUUGAUGGCCACCCGCAUGACUUUGGGUUAGCUGUGUGACCUAAUUUGGCCAAUGGCAUGUUAGCAAGUAUCGAGGGAAAUUCUCCCCCAGUAAUUCAACGUGAGUCCUUUUCUAUUUUCCCGAAGUGUCGGCUGGUCUGAGAAAUAAAGGGAAAGAGUACAAAAGAGAGAAAUUUUAAAGCUGAGUGUCCAGGGGAGAUACCACAUGUCGGCAGGUUCCGUGAUGCUACCUGAGCCGUAAAACCAAAAAGUUUUUAUCAGCAAUUUUCAAAGGGUCAGGGCGAAACUAGAAUCACUAAUGAACGUCCAUGUCCAGCUGUGCAUGCAUUGUCAUUGAUAAACAAGGUUCAAGAGCAGAGAACCGGUCUGACUAGAAUUUGCCAGGCUGGAAUUUCCUAAUCCUAGCAAGCCUGGGGGCGCUGCAGGACCCUAGGGCGUGUUUCAUCCCUAUUUACAUCUGUGUAAGGCAGACAUUCCCAGGGCGGCCAUUUUAGUGGCCCCACCCUGGGAAUGCAUUCUUUUCCCAGGGCAGUUAAUUAUUAAUAUUCCUUACUGGGGAAAGAAUUCAGUGAUACUUAUCUUACCCGUUUUCGGUAAUAAGAGAA
Long non-coding RNA from Macaca mulatta (Rhesus monkey), 1946 nucleotides. The record is from Ensembl. NCBI's taxonomy places the organism in Eukaryota, Metazoa, Chordata, Mammalia, Primates, Cercopithecidae.